RNAcentral lists this ribosomal RNA (2626 nucleotides) under Candidatus Woesebacteria bacterium. Its description in RNAcentral is "partial 23S ribosomal RNA". It matches the Rfam family "Bacterial large subunit ribosomal RNA", at positions 1 to 2562 of the family's 2925-position model. Lineage: Bacteria; Candidatus Woeseibacteriota. The record is from RNAcentral.
CAAAGUGUGAAUUAAAGCAGGUAGUGGAUGCCUUGGUUUCUUUGGCCGACGAAGGACGCACAUGACCGCGAAAGUCAUCGGGGAGCUGCCAUGAAGCUUCGAUCCGAUGGUGUCCGAAUGGGGCAACCCGUUUCCGUUUUACGGAAUCAUCCUUUAUUUUUAAUAAAGGGGGGGAACGCGCCGAACUGAAAUAUCUAAGUAAGCGCUGGAAUAUAAAUCGUAAGAGAUUCCCUGAGUAAGCGACGAGCGAAAAGGGAACAGGCUAAACCCAGAUUUAUCUGGGGGUUGUAGGAGCCCGACAUUGGAUGUAGUACUCAAUAGCAGAAUAACUUGGAAUAGUUAACCCAAGAACGUGAAAGUCGUGUACGCGAAAUUGAUGUACUCCCAUAGGGAAUUCCUAAGUAGGUUCAGAGACGGCAAACUCUGGGCUGAAUCUAGGGUGACCACACUCUAAGCCUAAAUACCAAAGAAAACCGAUAGUGAACGAGUACCGUGAGGGAAAGGUGAAAAGAAGGGCUUAUGGCCCCGUGAAAUAGUACCUGAAACUAUCUGCUAACAAACAGUGAGAGCCCCGCAAGGGGUGAUCGCGUGCCUAUUGAAGAAUGAACCGGCGAGUUAUUGUAUGCUGUUCGUGUAAGUGGGUGAUCCCCACGAGCGCAGAGUGAAAGCGAGCCUGAAUAGGGCGAUUAAUAACAGCGUAUGGUAGACCCGAAACCGAGUGAGCUAACCAUGAGCAGGAUGAAGGUUGGGUAAAACCAACUGAAGGUCCGAACCGGUGUAUGUUGCAAGAUGCUCGGAUGACUUGUGGUUAGGGGUAAUAUGCCAAUCGAACUCGGAGAUAGCUGGUUCUCCCCGAAAUAUAUUUAGGUAUAGGCUUACAAUUUAAGUGACAGGGGUAGAGCACUGAAUGGAUCGCAGGGUCGCAAGAUCUUGCAUCUAAUCAAACUCCGAAUACUGUCAUGUAUAUUGUGGGACUCAGUACGCGGGAGCUAAGUUCCGCGGGCAAAAGGGAAACAUCCCAGACCAUCGUCUAAGGUCUCUAAGUUUUAUUUAGUGGUAAAGGAAGUGUAGUUCCUCAGACACCUAGGAGGUCGGCUUAGAAGCAGCCAUCCUUGAAAGAAAGCGUAACAGCUCACUAGCCGAGGGACUAUGCGCCGAAAAUGUAACGAGGCUCAAAUAAAACACCGAAGACAUGGAUUUAUGUAGCAAUAUAUAAGUGGUAGGGGAGUGUUCUGGCGACAGUGAAGGUGAAUCGAGAGGUUUGCUGGAGUUUCCAGAAGCACGGAUGCCGGUAUGAGUAGCGUAAAUUGGGUGAGAAUCCCAAUCACCGAAUGUCCAAGGUUUCCGCCCCCAUGUUCGUCAUGGGCGGGUGAGGCGACCCUUAGGUGAGAUCUCGUUAAGAGGUGUAGCCGAUGGAUUACAGGUUGAUAUUCCUGUCCUGUAUGUAGAUCGUUAUUACUUGGGGAGGGACGAGCGUGGAUACCUCAUGCGGUAAUUUGAAGUUACCGUUUAAGCAGCAAGAUAGUGUCUGCAGGCAAAUCCACAGACGUGCUUAAUUGAGUUGUGAAUAGAAGAUUGUGGAGCGAUCCACAAUCAACAUGAGUGACUUCAGGCUCCGAGAAAAGCUUCGCAAGGAGAGUUACAUACAUUCGUACUAAUAACCGACACAGGUGGACUGGUAGAGUAUACCAAGGUGAGCGAGUGACACUAGUUCAAGGAACUCGGCAAUGAAGCUGGGCGUAAUUUCGAAACAUGCCCCACUUUCUGUUAAUGGAAAGUCGCAGCGAAAGUUUCCCGUCCGACUGUUUAACAAAAACACAGGUCUGUGCAAACUCGCAAGAGGAUGUAUACGGGCUGAGGCCUGCCCAGUGCCGGAAGGUUAACUGCGAGGGUGACUACCGCAAGGUAGAGGCCUUCAAUUGAAGCCCCGGUGAACGGCAGCAGUAACUAUAACUGUUCUAUGGUAGCGAAGUACCUUGUCACUUAAUUGGUGACGCGCACGAAAGGUAUAACGAGGCGGGAUCUGUCUUGAACUAGUACUCGGCGAAAUUGAAAUGGCUGUGAAGAUGCGGCCUACUGAUACAUGGACAAAAAGACCCCAUGGAGCUUUACUCUCCCUUGGCACUGAUUUUUUAUGCACAAUUGUUUAGUAUAGGUGGGAGCCUUCGGGCACCAGUGAAAUACCACUCGUUGUAUAUAGAAAAUCUUACUUACGGUUACUGCAAACGUAAUCGGGGACCCUGCCAGGCUGGGAGUUUAACUGGGGAGGUUGCUUGCUAAAAGGUAACGCAAGCGCGCAAAGGUACACUUGGUCCGGAUGGAAAUCGGACUGGACGUGCAACGGCAUAAGUGUGCUUGACUGUGAGGAUUACACUCCGAGCAGAGACGAAAGUCGGUCAUAGUGAUCUUCGUGCACUUUGUGGAAGGUGCCGGACUUAACGGAUAAAAGCUACCCUGGGGAUAACAGAGUAGUCGCGCCUAAGCGUCCCUAGCGACGGCGCGGUUCGCUACCUCGAUGUCGGCUCAUUGCAUCCUGGGGCUGGAGAAAACAUUUACCUUCUCUCCUUUUCAGAAAUGGAAAGGUAAUAAACAAGCUCAAAACGGAGGAGGCCAUACUAUUUGCAGG